This 768-nucleotide ribosomal RNA is filed under the name uncultured bacterium. Its description in RNAcentral is "bacterial SSU rRNA". It matches the Rfam family "Bacterial small subunit ribosomal RNA", at positions 8 to 796 of the family's 1533-position model. The record is from RNAcentral.
AGAGUUUGAUCCUGGCUCAGGACGAACGCUGGCGGCGUGCUUAACACAUGCAAGUUGGGCGACGGUCAUAUGAAGUGGUAACACGGAAUGUGAUACGGAGCGGCGGACGGGUGAGUACAACAUGAGAAGCUAUCCUUCAACGGGGGACAACGUUUAGAAAUGGACGCUAAUACCCCAUAAGCCGAGAGGUUAAAACGGAGACGCGAUGGAGGAGGUGCUCGUGGCCUAUCAGCUAGUUGGUGAGGUAAUGGCUCACCAAGGCGACGACGGGUAGCCGGCCUGAGAGGGCGAACGGCCACACUGGAACUGAGAUACGGUCCAGACUCCUACGGGAGGCAGCAGUGGGGAAUAUUGGGCAAUGGGAGAAAUCCUGACCCAGCAACGCCGCGUGAACGAAGAAGGCCCUUGGGUCGUAAAGUUCUUUUAUAUGGGAAGAAUAAGAUGACGGUACCAUAUGAAUAAGCCCCGGCUAACUACGUGCCAGCAGCCGCGGUAAUACGUAGGGGGCGAGCGUUGUCCGGAAUUACUGGGCGUAAAGGGCACGCAGGCUGUGCUGUAAGUCAGCUGUCAAAAGAUGCGGCUUAACCGUGUUUCGCAGUUGAAACUGCAGUGCUGGAGUACUGAAGAGGCAAGUGGAAUUCCCAGUGUAGCGGUGAAAUGCGUAGAUAUUGGGAAGAACACCGGUGGCGAAGGCGACUUGCUGGUCAGUAACUGACGCUGAGGUGCGAAAGCUAGGGGAGCAAACGGGAUUAGAUACCCUGGUAGUCG